CCCUAUGCCUGCCCGUGUCUCUGCCAUCUACCGUCCAUGUCUCUCUCUCGACUCUCGGGGCGUCGCCGCUCGUUGGCGCCGCCGCCCCGCGCCACCACGCCCUCACCUGGUGCGCCCGAUCUCCCGACUCUCUCUCUCUCUCUCUCUCUCUCUCUCUCUCUCUCUCGCCUCUCGGGGGAGUCCGAGCGCCACCGGCCCCCUCGCCAUUCUCCGGCCACCGACGCCACCGCCCGCUGGCGCCGCUGCGCCACCACGGUCCUCGCCUGUUUGUGCUCGCAGGUGUUCCGAGAGGAUGGGCAGAUGGGCAUGGGCGGGAACGAGGAGAAGGACUGGGCCCACUGCGUGGAGGUGCUGCCCUCGCCCGACUCCCAGUCGGCGGAGUAUUCCGAUAACAAGAAUUCGAACGGUUGCCGGUGGCUCGUUGCAGCAGUGAAGGCAACGAGGAGCCUGCGAAUAUGCCGCCGCCGCCGCUUCCAUGUGUAGCAAGACGAUUUGAUCCGUCUAUUGAUGAAAUCUGGUGAUCAUGAACUUUGUCUAUCUUGGCAGCGCAGCAGGGCUUGCUUCAACAUUUAAGUGGAUUUCCUAUUCAAAAUUAAUAUAUCAUAUCCAUUUCUGGACAGAAGUUAUCUUUAUCUUCCAAUUUGAGAAUUUGUCAACUAAUAGAGAAAGAGUACUUAUACAAAGUACAGUUUUCGAGAGUUUCUUUUUAAGGAAUGAAUAUAGAAAGAACCCUUCAAUUUAUAAUUUGAUAUUUGUACUAGAGGUAUCUUGUUGGACAAUAACCGGAGAAAGACAAGCAGCACGAAUCAGAGUCUUGUACCUCAAUGCGAUUCUGAGACAAGAUAUUGCAUUCUUUGACAUGGAUAUGAGCACUGGAAAAGUGGUUGAAAGGAUGGCAGGAGACACAUUCCUCAUUCAAGAUGCCAUUGGAGAAAAGCCACUAAUAGGAUCUGUUAUGGAGAAGCUUUCACAAUUUUGCCAUGUUCUGGUCGAGAACAUACUGAACAUCCGUGAUGUUCCAAAUUUAUGGCAUGUCCCACUUAUCCUUAGAGUAACUUCCACAAGAACCUUAACCUUGCGGUUUUCUAGAAAUAUACUAAGGCCCCGUUUGGAUCA
This is a long non-coding RNA of Setaria italica (foxtail millet), 1116 nucleotides long. RefSeq lists it as uncharacterized. The transcript is spliced from 5 exons. The record is from RefSeq and is a predicted model, not a curated record. NCBI's taxonomy places the organism in Eukaryota, Viridiplantae, Streptophyta, Magnoliopsida, Poales, Poaceae.